GAUGAACGCUGGCGGCGUGCCUAAUACAUGCAAGUCGAGCGAACGGACGAGAAGCUUGCUUCUCUGAUGUUAGCGGCGGACGGGUGAGUAACACGUGGAUAACCUACCUAUAAGACUGGGAUAACUUCGGGAAACCGGAGCUAAUACCGGAUGAUAUUUUGAACCGCAUGGUUCAAAAGUGAAAGACGGUCUUGCUGUCACUUAUAGAUGGAUCCGCGCUGCAUUAGCUAGUUGGUAAGGUAACGGCUUACCAAGGCAACGAUGCAUAGCCGACCUGAGAGGGUUAUCGGCCACACUUGAACUGAGACACGGUCCAGACUCCUACGGGAGGCAGCAGUAGGGAAUCUUCCGCAAUGGGCGAAAGCCUGACGGAGCAACGCCGCGUGAGUGAUGAAGGUCUUCGGAUCGUAAAACUCUGUUAUUAGGGAAGAACAUAUGUGUAAGUAACUGUGCACAUCUUGACGGUACCUAAUCAGAAAGCCACGGCUAACUACGUG
This 497-nucleotide ribosomal RNA is filed under the name uncultured bacterium. Its description in RNAcentral is "partial 16S ribosomal RNA". It matches the Rfam family "Bacterial small subunit ribosomal RNA", at positions 28 to 507 of the family's 1533-position model. The record is from RNAcentral.